Molecule: ribosomal RNA, 365 nt
Filed under: uncultured Rhodovulum sp.
Lineage: Bacteria; Pseudomonadati; Pseudomonadota; Alphaproteobacteria; Rhodobacterales; Paracoccaceae
Description: bacterial SSU rRNA
Rfam family: Bacterial small subunit ribosomal RNA
Source: RNAcentral
GUGCCAGCAGCGGCGGUAAUACGGAGGGGGCUAGCGUUGUUCGGAAUUACUGGGCGUAAAGCGCGCGUAGGCGGACCAUCAAGUUGGGGGUGAAAUCCCGGGGCUCAACCCCGGAACUGCCUCCAAAACUGCUGGUCUUGAGGUCGAGAGAGGUGAGUGGAAUUCCGAGUGUAGAGGUGAAAUUCGUAGAUAUUCGGAGGAACACCAGUGGCGAAGGCGGCUCACUGGCUCGAUACUGACGCUGAGGUGCGAAAGCGUGGGAGCAAACAGGAUUAGAUACCCUGGUAGUCCACGCCGUAAACGAUGAAUGCCAGACGUCGCAGGCAUGCCUGUCGGUGUCACACCUACGGAUUAAGCAUUCCGCC